This 484-nucleotide ribosomal RNA is filed under the name uncultured bacterium. RNAcentral's name for it is "partial 16S ribosomal RNA". It matches the Rfam family "Bacterial small subunit ribosomal RNA", at positions 28 to 507 of the family's 1533-position model. The record is from RNAcentral.
AUUGAACGCUGGCGGCAUGCUUUACACAUGCAAGUCGAACGGCAGCGGGGGCUUCGGCCUGGCGGCGAGUGGCGAACGGGUGAGUAAUGCAUCGGAACGUGCCCAGUAGUGGGGGAUAGCCCGGCGAAAGCCGGAUUAAUACCGCAUACGACCUGAGGGUGAAAGCGGGGGACCGAAAGGCCUCGCGCUAUUGGAGCGGCCGAUGUCGGAUUAGCUAGUUGGUGGGGUAAAGGCUUACCAAGGCGACGAUCCGUAGCUGGUCUGAGAGGACGACCAGCCACACUGGGACUGAGACACGGCCCAGACUCCUACGGGAGGCAGCAGUGGGGAAUUUUGGACAAUGGGGGCAACCCUGAUCCAGCCAUGCCGCGUGCGGGAAGAAGGCCUUCGGGUUGUAAACCGCUUUUGUUCGGGAAGAAAUCCUCUGGGCUAAUACCCCGGGGGGAUGACGGUACCGGAAGAAUAAGCACCGGCUAACUACGUG